This 696-nucleotide ribosomal RNA is filed under the name Pseudomonas sp. EK-I40. RNAcentral's name for it is "bacterial SSU rRNA". It matches the Rfam family "Bacterial small subunit ribosomal RNA", at positions 8 to 699 of the family's 1533-position model. The record is from RNAcentral. Lineage: Bacteria; Pseudomonadati; Pseudomonadota; Gammaproteobacteria; Pseudomonadales; Pseudomonadaceae.
AGAGUUUGAUCCUGGCUCAGAUUGAACGCUGGCGGCAGGCCUAACACAUGGAAGUCGAGCGGAUGAGAGGAGCUUGCUCCUGGAUUCAGCGGCGGACGGGUGAGUAAUGCCUAGGAAUCUGCCUGGUAGUGGGGGACAACGUUUCGAAAGGAACGCUAAUACCGCAUACGACCUACGGGAGAAAGCAGGGGACCUUCGGGCCUUGCGCUAUCAGAUGAGCCUAGGUCGGAUUAGCUAGUUGGUGAGGUAAUGGCUCACCAAGGCGACGAUCCGUAACUGGUCUGAGAGGAAGAUCAGUCACACUGGAACUGAGACACGGUCCAGACUCCUACGGGAGGCAGCAGUGGGGAAUAUUGGACAAUGGGCGAAAGCCUGACCCAGCCAUGCCGCGUGUGUGAAGAAGGUCUUCGCAUUGUAAAGCACUUUAAGUUGGGAGGAAGGGUUGUAGAUUAAUACUCUGCAAUUUUGACGUUACCGACAGAAUAAGCACCGGCUAACUCUGUGCCAGCAGCCGCGGUAAUACAGAGGGUGCAAGCGUUAAUCGGAAUUACUGGGCGUAAAGCGCGCGUAGGUGGUUUGUUAAGUUGGAUGUGAAAUCCCCGGGCUCAACCUGGGAACUGCAUCCAAAACUGGCAAGCUAGAGUAUGGUAGAGGGUGGUGGAAUUUCCUGUGUAGCGGUGAAAUGCGUAGAUAUAG